This 266-nucleotide unclassified non-coding RNA is filed under the name Hevea brasiliensis (rubber tree). Lineage: Eukaryota; Viridiplantae; Streptophyta; Magnoliopsida; Malpighiales; Euphorbiaceae. The record is from RNAcentral.
AAUUUUUGUACAAAAUGACAAGGCAAUCAGUGGUUAGUGACAUGUGACAAGCCUCAAAAGGGUAAAAAAAUACAAGAUGACCAUAUUUUAUAUUUUCUAACAUUCCGAACUCUGGUAUGCUCAUUUCUCCAAAAGUAACUCUAAAUCCAUGUUUUGGACAAUACAAGUUUAUUAUCGUGUUUUGGAUAGUUAAUUUUGGAGAACGAUUGUACACUAAAAAUUAAGUAAUAUUAAUUUGAGUUUAAAGGUUGACAAUUUGAUUAAAU